RNAcentral lists this non-coding RNA (101 nucleotides) under Loigolactobacillus bifermentans. RNAcentral's name for it is "Lactobacillus bifermentans THF-I sequence". It matches the Rfam family "THF (Tetrahydrofolate) riboswitch aptamer". Rfam says of the family: THF riboswitch presents a pseudoknot that joins P1-P2 and the loop of P3 and two THF binding. RNAcentral also lists the same sequence under 1 other name. The record is from RNAcentral. Lineage: Bacteria; Bacillati; Bacillota; Bacilli; Lactobacillales; Lactobacillaceae.
AACGGAGUAGGCGGCGAAGCGUUAAGUGCUGAUGGAACGGAAUGUGAACAUCAGACGAAAAUAAGGCAACUUAUUGCGGUUUCGCUGUCGCAUUCGCCGCA